AUUGAACGCUGGCGGCAUGCCUUACACAUGCAAGUCGAACGGUAACAGGUCUUUCGGGAUGCUGACGAGCGGCGAACGGGUGAGUAAUACAUCGGAACGUGCCUAGUAGUGGGGGAUAACUACUCGAAAGAGUGGCUAAUACCGCAUGAGAUCUAUGGAUGAAAGCAGGGGACCUUUGGGCCUUGUGCUACUAGAGCGGCCGAUGGCAGAUUAGGUAGUUGGUGGGAUAAAAGCUUACCAAGCCUACGAUCUGUAGCUGGUCUGAGAGGACGAUCAGCCACACUGGGACUGAGACACGGCCCAGACUCCUACGGGAGGCAGCAGUGGGGAAUUUUGGACAAUGGGCGCAAGCCUGAUCCAGCAAUGCCGCGUGCAGGAUGAAGGCCUUCGGGUUGUAAACUGCUUUUGUACGGAACGAAAAGUCUUGGGUUAAUACCCUGGGAUCAUGACGGUACCGUAAGAAUAAGCACCGGCUAACUACGUG
This 484-nucleotide ribosomal RNA is filed under the name uncultured bacterium. Its description in RNAcentral is "partial 16S ribosomal RNA". It matches the Rfam family "Bacterial small subunit ribosomal RNA", at positions 30 to 507 of the family's 1533-position model. The record is from RNAcentral.